RNAcentral lists this unclassified non-coding RNA (327 nucleotides) under uncultured fungus. Its description in RNAcentral is "sequence contains ITS1". The stretch from base 1 to 105 matches the Rfam family "5.8S ribosomal RNA", at positions 50 to 154 of the family's 154-position model. Lineage: Eukaryota; Fungi. The record is from RNAcentral.
GAAAUGCGAUAAGUAAUGUGAAUUGCAGAAUUCCGCGAAUCAUCGAAUCUUUGAACGCACAUUGCGCUCCCUGGUAUUCCGGAGAGCAUGCCUGUCUGAGAACCGACAUUUCCUCACAGCCAGUCUGUGGAUCUGAGUCGCCACCUUGCCUGUCGAGGUGUGACUUGAAAUGCUCUGACUCUCUUGGUCUCCCCUAAGGUGACGUAUGACCUUGUGUCCGUAUGCCGAUAAAGGGUGCACUCAUGGAAGGUCAUCUACUCUGAAGCAAGGACCUUUUGGUUCUGAACUCUUGGUCUCAGAUCAGGCAAGACUACCCGCUGAACUUAA